AGUGAACGCUGGCGGUAGGCCUAACACAUGCAAGUCGAACGGCAGCACAGGAGAGCUUGCUCUCUGGGUGGCGAGUGGCGGACGGGUGAGGAAUACAUCGGAAUCUACUCUGUCGUGGGGGAUAACGUAGGGAAACUUACGCUAAUACCGCAUACGACCUACGGGUGAAAGCAGGGGAUCUUCGGACCUUGCGCGAUUGAAUGAGCCGAUGUCGGAUUAGCUAGUUGGCGGGGUAAGGGCCCACCAAGGCGACGAUCCGUAGCUGGUCUGAGAGGAUGAUCAGCCACACUGGAACUGAGACACGGUCCAGACUCCUACGGGAGGCAGCAGUGGGGAAUAUUGGACAAUGGGCGCAAGCCUGAUCCAGCCAUACCGCGUGGGUGAAGAAGGCCUUCGGGUUGUAAAGCCCUUUUGUUGGGAAAGAAAUCCAGCUGGCUAAUACCCGGUUGGGAUGACGGUACCCAAAGAAUAAGCACCGGCUAACUCCGUGCCAGCCGCCGCCGUAA
This 506-nucleotide ribosomal RNA is filed under the name uncultured bacterium. RNAcentral describes it as "partial 16S ribosomal RNA". It matches the Rfam family "Bacterial small subunit ribosomal RNA", at positions 29 to 523 of the family's 1533-position model. The record is from RNAcentral.